Molecule: ribosomal RNA, 253 nt
Filed under: uncultured bacterium
Lineage: Bacteria
Description: partial 16S ribosomal RNA
Rfam family: Bacterial small subunit ribosomal RNA
Source: RNAcentral
UACGAAGGGGGCUAGCGUUGCUCGGAAUUACUGGGCGUAAAGCGCACGUAGGCGGACUUAUAAGUCGGGGGUGAAAUCCUGGAGCUCAACUCCAGAACUGCCUUCGAAACUGCAAGUCUUGAGUUCGGGAGAGGUGAGUGGAACUGCGAGUGUAGAGGUGAAAUUCGUAGAUAUUCGCAAGAACACCAGUGGCGAAGGCGGCUCACUGGCCCGAUACUGACGCUGAGGUGCGAAAGCGUGGGGAGCAAACAGG